AAGUCGUAACAAGGUUUCCGUAGGUGAACCUGCGGAAGGAUCAUUAACAAAUGAACAAACACGCGUGUUUUUUGAUGAGACGUGAUGGAUGGAUGGAUGGGAUGGAUGGAUUUAUGUGAUUUGAUCGAUCGAUCGAUCGAUGCAUGGAUGCAUGGAUCCUUUAUUCAUUCAUUCAUUCGUGAUCCUCAAAAAAGGUUUUGUUGUUUUGAAAAAGGCAUUUUUUGGGACGACAAAACCACACACACACUUUAAAACAAACACUUCAAUAUGGACAAUCAAUGGAGGAAAAAGAAUCCAAAAAUGUAUGUAUGUAUAGAAACAACUUUUAACAAUGGAUCUCUUGGUUCUU
RNAcentral lists this unclassified non-coding RNA (349 nucleotides) under fungal sp. RNAcentral describes it as "partial internal transcribed spacer region". The stretch from base 1 to 46 matches the Rfam family "Eukaryotic small subunit ribosomal RNA", at positions 1786 to 1831 of the family's 1831-position model. Lineage: Eukaryota; Fungi. The record is from RNAcentral.